GUGGGGAAUCUUGCGCAAUGGGCGAAAGCCUGACGCAGCGACGCCGCGUGAGUGAUGAAGGCCCUCGGGUUGUAAAGCUCUGUGGAGAGAGACGAAUAAGGGUUGGCUAAUAUCCAACUCGAUGACGGUAUCUUUUUAGCAAGCACCGGCUAACUCUGUGCCAGCAGCCGCGGUAAGACAGAGGGUGCAAACGUUGUUCGGAAUUACUGGGCGUAAAGCGCGUGUAGGCUGCGAUGCAAGUCGGAUGUGAAAGCCCUGGGCUCAACCUAGGAAGUGCAUUCGAAACUGCGUUGCUUGAGUUCUGGAGAGGAAGGCGGAAUUCUCGGUGUAGAGGUGAAAUUCGUAGAUAUCGAGAGGAACACCGGUGGCGAAGGCGGCCUUCUGGACAGCAACUGACGCUGAGACGCGAAAGCGUGGGGAGCAAACAGGAUUAGAAACCCCAGUAGUCC
RNAcentral lists this ribosomal RNA (449 nucleotides) under uncultured bacterium. RNAcentral describes it as "bacterial SSU rRNA". It matches the Rfam family "Bacterial small subunit ribosomal RNA", at positions 354 to 796 of the family's 1533-position model. The record is from RNAcentral.